GGACCCUACGGGAGGCAGCAGUGAGGAAUAUUGGUCAAUGGCCGCAGGGCUGAACCAGCCAAGUCGCGUGAGGGAAGACGGUCCUAUGGAUUGUAAACCUCUUUUGCCGGGGAGCAAAAAGCGGUACGUGUACCGCAUCGAGAGUACCCGGAGAAAAAGCAUCGGCUAACUCCGUGCCAGCAGCCGCGGUAAUACGGAGGAUGCGAGCGUUAUCCGGAUUUAUUGGGUUUAAAGGGUGCGCAGGCGGCGAGUUAAGUCAGCGGUAAAAUUUCGGGGCUCAACCCCGACGAGCCGUUGAAACUGGC
This 305-nucleotide ribosomal RNA is filed under the name uncultured bacterium. RNAcentral describes it as "bacterial SSU rRNA". It matches the Rfam family "Bacterial small subunit ribosomal RNA", at positions 333 to 637 of the family's 1533-position model. The record is from RNAcentral.